UGAGCCGUAUGUUCGUGGUCGUCCUUUGAGUGGCAAAAUAAAGUAUGCUCAAAGAGCACUGGACAUUACCAAUAAAGGCCAAAAUGGAAUUCAGAAAUACACAGAAAUGGUUUUUGGUCCAGAUCACCCAACCCUGCAGACCAUACAAGAGGACGUGAGGAACAUGCAGUUUCCCAAGUCACAAACAUGUUGCCACUUAUCGCCCUUCAAUGAGUUCUUCAGUGAGUUCCUCCAUCAUGUCAUAUCAAUCAUGAUUGGGAAGGUGGGUCUCAUCAAAGAUAACCGGAACUGAGAACUUAGUACCAUUUCCAUAAUUUGGACUAUUUUGAUUACGAUCUGUCCCACGCCUCAUUAACACCACUCACCACACCUGAUCCCAUGCAAAUGUCCCCCUUUUUUCUGUGUUGCCUGUCACAUUUAUGUUUCCAUCAAACUGUCUCAGAAAUAACUAUUCUUAUUCACAUAUCCUACCAUUCUGUGUUGCAGUCACAGUCAUUCUGUUCCUUAGACAUGAUUAUUUGCAUUCAGAUGUACUGUUUAUUUCUGUUACAUAUGCUGUUACUCGGUUUCAAAUAUUAUAUCUCACGCAUAUGUUAGGCCUUUGUUGCACAUACACUAUUAACUUCAUUUACAUAUACUAUUAUCCUCUGCUAUACAGACUAUCAUGUAAGCCUAUACUGUGUGUAUAAGUAGCUAUAGUUUUCUGUGCAACAGAGAAGAGUGCUGUAUGUAUAAGAGUGUGACAGUAUAUAAAAGGGAGUAUGAUUGUGCUUAUAAGAGGGUAUGGUAGUCUUUGUGUAAGAGUAUAGUGGUGUAUAUGUGCGAUUAUGAUGUUGUGUAUGAGACCAAGUAUGAAUUAUCUCUCAAGGGGCCUCUCACAUGAAUGCUUGACUCUUUGUUGUGAAAGUAUACUUAUUUAUUGCAAAUGGAAAUUAUGUGUCAAGUUGCACAGUGUUCCUGGGAAGUUUGCAAAAAGAUCUGCAGAAUACAUUUAAAUAGCAGAUGUAUCUGUUCCUAAGAACAUGGCUGCGGGCUCAAUUUUUGCUCUCUGCUGCCCUCUGUCUUGCAGUUCCAAUAUUUCUGCCCUUUGUAGUGCAGUUCCAGUUUUGUAAUGAUUUGUGGUCUGUCAAGGGGAACGUUUUCAAAUGUAGAUUUUCAUCAUGAUGAAAUUAUGUUUUUUCUGAAGUGGUAAUAUGGCCCAUCAAAUAUGAAAUUGAGUAAAUACGGUAAUAACUGAUAUCCUGAUCACAAGGAUA
Long non-coding RNA from Brienomyrus brachyistius, 1256 nucleotides. RefSeq lists it as uncharacterized. The record is from RefSeq and is a predicted model, not a curated record. The transcript has 4 exons. NCBI's taxonomy places the organism in Eukaryota, Metazoa, Chordata, Actinopteri, Osteoglossiformes, Mormyridae.